RNAcentral lists this long non-coding RNA (950 nucleotides) under Homo sapiens (human). Its description in RNAcentral is "HSALNT0126563". Lineage: Eukaryota; Metazoa; Chordata; Mammalia; Primates; Hominidae. The record is from RNAcentral.
CUGGUGGGGCCUUGGAGAACCUUUGUGUCAAUACUCUGUAUCUAACUAAUCUGAUGGGGACGUGGAGAACGUUUAUAUCUAGCUCAGGGAUUGUAAACGCACCAAUCAGCACCCUGUCAAAACAGGCCACUAGGCUCUACCAAUCAGCAGGAUGUGGGUGGGGCCAGAUAAGAUAAUAAAAGCAGGCUGCCCGAGCCAGCAGUAGCAAUUUGCUCGGGUCCUCUGCCAGAGUGUGGAAGUCUUGUUGUUUUGCUCUUUGGGUCUACACUGCUUUUAUGAGCUGUAACACUCACCGCGAAGGUCUGCAGCUUCACUCUUGAAGCCAGUGAGACCAUGAGCCCACCGGGAGAAACGAACCACUCCAGACGCGCCGCUUUAAGAGCUGUAACACUCACUGUGAAGGUCUGUAGCUUCACUCCUGAGCCAGCGCGACCACGAACCCACCAGAAGGAAGAAACUCCGAACACAUCCGAACAUCAGAAAGAAACUCCAGACGCACCACCUUAAGAGCUGUAACGUUCACCGUGAGGGUCCGUGGCUUCAUUCUUUAAGUCAGUGAGACCAAGGACCCACCAAUUCUGGACACACUGUGAGCACAGGUAUGAGCCCCUGUGGUGUGCACAGGUGUGAGUCCCUGCCAAGAGCACAUGUGUGUUUAGUUGGGCGUGCGCCUUUGGUUCAAACCUAGCCCCUUCAUGUUUCAGCCAUCUCAGCCCCACACACAGUAUUACCUUUGACCCUCUGCCCACCUCUGCCUCAAGGCACCUCCCUACCUCUUAGCUUUGUUUGAAUCCUUCCUCUACCUUCCACCUUCCUCUACCUUCCAAUCCUCUCUCGACACCACGUGGAUUUCCUGGUCACCAGACCCUCUGCCUCCACUCGCUCCUCUGACCUGCUAACUUCGAAUUGUGUGGUAUCGGGGAUAAUGUCUUUUUUUUUUUUUUUUUUUU